RNA transcript from Musa acuminata AAA Group (dessert banana), 2412 nucleotides. RefSeq lists it as uncharacterized. The transcript has 3 exons. The record is from RefSeq and is a predicted model, not a curated record. NCBI's taxonomy places the organism in Eukaryota, Viridiplantae, Streptophyta, Magnoliopsida, Zingiberales, Musaceae.
GCCCCCGCAACCUAACAUGGUAAACGAUGCGGGUCUUUCGGCGGGUAUAGAGUUCUUGGUGAAAGAGACGGCGCCACUCCCGAACCUGUUACAUUUCAAACCCGUUAAACUCCGAACUUGACUCUCUUUUAAUUUGUUUGUUUGUUUCUCGAGGAGAAGGAAGGAAAUCAAAUGGGUUGCAUCUCUUCUAAACUGCUCGCCGUCGCCGAAGUCGGCGAGGAGCUUCUCUUCUCUGGCGACGCAGGCCCCGACGGCGACUGCCCGAACCAUUUCGUCUCCCUCACCUCUACCACCUACGGGGCCCUCAGCCUCGAUCGCGGCGACGAGAAAGCCAAUAAUCCCAAGGCGCCAGCAGAGAAGGAAGUCGAACCGGAUGCAGCCUCGGCGUCGGAGUGCGGCCAGCCGUCCCCUCCCCAUGUCGACAAGAAGAGCACCGCGGCAGAGGAAGAGCGCCCCUCGGAGAUCAUCGACGCGCGGGAGCUCAUGGGGGACCUGGCCGACGAGACCCCUAGCCGGUCGCCACCGCAGAAGAAGAGGCCACACAAACCCUCGUCUGCAUUGCGCCGGUCGCCCGCGGUGAGGGCCGCGAUGUCGCCCGUGAUGCCAAGGAAUUGGUUCGCCGGGAAGGAGAACACCCCGCUGCGGCUGGAGCCCAAAAGGUCGGAUCAUGACGCCUACCGUGCCUCGAAGCCGUUCCGUUCCUUGGACAACACGCCGUGGACCAACCUCGUUUCGGCAAUCUCGAAGAAGGGCACCCCCAACAGCGCACGGAGCAACAACUCCAAUAGAGAUUUCAGUAACUCCAAGUCGAGGCGGAGCCUGAGCCCCUUGUUCGAUCCGGAGCUCCUCGCUCGUUUCGAGCGGGAGCACUGCGAGGAAGGGGAGCAGAUCAAGAGGAUGGUGCACGUCAAGAUCUGCGAUUCUGUUAUCCUGCUUCAAUCCUUCGAGGAGAAGUGUCCCCCAGGAGGUGAGGACACCGUGGUCCUCUACACCACCACGCUCAGAGGGAUCAGGAAGACCUUUGAGGAUUGCAACACAGUCAGGUCCUUGAUCGAGUCCUACGGCGGCCACAUCGUGGAGAGGGACAUCUCCAUGGACUCCGGGUACAGGGAGGAACUACGGCUGCUGAUGGGGAGGAAGGAGGUGAAGGUCCCGAUCGUCUUCGUCAAGGGCAGGUGUGUCGGUGGUGCCGAGGAGAUCGUGAGAUUGGAAGAAGAAGAUGAGUUGGGGCUUUUGCUGGAGGGGCUUCCGAGGGCGACAAAGUGGUGCGAGGGCUGCGGCGGGUUGCGAUUUGUGAUGUGCAUGGACUGCAAUGGCAGCUGCAAGGUGUUGGAUUCCGAGGAGAAGAAGGUGAAGUGUGAAGGGUGCAAUGAGAACGGCUUGAUCCAUUGCCCCAUAUGUUGCUGAGACGAAAAUAGAGAAAGAUUUGGCACUUCCCUUCACGAGAAACAAUUGGCUUCCUUAUUUUCCUGAUCACAGAAAGUUUGUGCAUUCGAGAAGCCAAUUGUUUUGUUGUAGUUGUUUAUUCUUGAGGAAUCUUUUGGCUAAUUCCAGCUCUCCUUUUGUGGUCAACGAAAAGCUAUGUCUCUAAACUUGACAGUGACAUUCAUAGAAGUUCAGGGGGCUUUACUUCCAGCCAACUCAAACAUUAUUUGCAAAAGAGAUGCCAGUGAAAUCUUUUGAAGAUGAAUGACAUGGAUUUUGGCUGUGCAAACCAAUCCAUUAGAUUUCUUUGUGACCUUGGAACGAACCUUGUGAUGACUGUAUUGACAAAUAUCUUCCCACCAAGAAGAAUCAUGCUAGAAGGAUCAGCCAGGCCAAUUUCUUUCAAGUUUGCGCCUAACUCAGGAAAAAAUCGAGACAAAAGAAAGUGGAAGCAACAGUUGCUGUUUAUAAUUGUGUCUCUCAAACAAUGUCUCUUUCAUGAUCCAUGUUCAUAUUCUUUAUUUCCAGAUCAGUCAGGAUCAGGAUGCAUAAUUCUAUUCCAGAUGCUAAUCUCCCUCUGCAAUCACAACACAGCAGCAGUCUUAUCACAUUUCUUGAGCUGACUUUGCCAAGCCGCAAGUUUGAAUUUGAUGGUCACUACAUCUUUUAUUCCAUUGACUUGGUUGCUGCUUCUUGGAGGCUCAACUCACAAAAAUGCUUUGUCAGUGCAUGUUCUAAUUGUGCGUGCCAUUGCCAGAGUUUGUUCCUGGUGGCAAUGAGUUGGUUUUUGUGCCUCGACUUCCAUAUUUCAAGCACUAUAUAUCAAGAAGAAGGUAUUUUAUUGGGUAGAAAAGUAUGGUGUUUUAAAGGGAUCAGGUGACUUAUAGGCAGUCCAUAAUCAUCAUCAUUGUCAGCAUCAUCAUCGAUAGUUUCCAUGAGAAUAAAAUGGUUGGAGUUCUGAUCAUCCUGUUGCAAUUUAACUAAAAU